RNAcentral lists this ribosomal RNA (466 nucleotides) under uncultured bacterium. RNAcentral describes it as "partial 16S ribosomal RNA". It matches the Rfam family "Bacterial small subunit ribosomal RNA", at positions 28 to 507 of the family's 1533-position model. The record is from RNAcentral.
GAUGAACGCUGGCGGCGUGCUUAACACAUGCAAGUCGAACGAUGAAGCCCAGCUUGCUGGGUGGAUUAGUGGCGAACGGGUGAGUAACACGUGAGUAACCUGCCCUUAACUCUGGGAUAAGCCUGGGAAACUGGGUCUAAUACCGGAUAGGAGCGUCCACCGCAUGGUGGGUGUUGGAAAGAUUUAUCGGUUUUGGAUGGACUCGCGGCCUAUCAGCUUGUUGGUGAGGUAAUGGCUCACCAAGGCGACGACGGGUAGCCGGCCUGAGAGGGUGACCGGCCACACUGGGACUGCGACACGGCCCAGACUCCUACGGGAGGCAGCAGUGGGGAAUAUUGCGCAAUGGGCGCAAGCCUGAUGCAGCGACGCCGCGUGAGGGAUGACGGCCUUCGGGUUGUAAACCUCUUUCAGUAGGGAAGAAGCGAAAGUGACGGUACCUGCAGAAGAAGCACCGGCUAACUACGUG